UUUCAUAUCUCUAAAACUCACUUCCAAGUGGCAUUUGAUCGAGAGAUUUGUUUAUGGUCAAGAUCAUCUUCUUGAUAAAUUCGUAUCUCUGAAUAAUUUG
Rhodamnia argentea is the source of this 100-nucleotide long non-coding RNA. RefSeq lists it as uncharacterized. The transcript has 3 exons. The record is from RefSeq and is a predicted model, not a curated record. NCBI's taxonomy places the organism in Eukaryota, Viridiplantae, Streptophyta, Magnoliopsida, Myrtales, Myrtaceae.